GGUUAGUGCCACAGUGAGCCCUUCCCCCAAGAGAGCGGCUGUCGAUGAGCUGCCGUUAGUGGGGCUAUUCAGUCAACAUUAAGAGAAGUGUUGGUCCUUAGAUGGAGAAUGAGGAAUUGAAGUUAAUCUCGGUCCAUUAACAAUUUUCAGGGCACUACAAAUCAACUGCCCUGGCUUGGAUGUACUUAUAAGGAAUUGGUGUCCUAAAGUGUUCUGAAAAGAAGCAGCUGCUUGCAAAAUGAAUUAAAGAAAUUUUACAGGAGUAAUGAUCUAACAGAGGAUGGAAGAAGUCACUAGAAUUAAGAAACCAUCCAGUUACCAGCAGUCAUGCCACUCAUUAUCAGCCAACCUGGAUUUAGCCAGGCUAGUUGUCUCUACAGAGAUUCUGAAAAAGAAAACAGAGAAAGGAAUAAGCCAAAACAAUCAACAGCAGAGGUUGGAAGUGUGAUUAUUACCCAUGCAGGAUGUCAAUGGAACUGAUUCAGCCACUAUAGGCUUGGGCUGGUGAGGACACUGCAAAGUACACAUUACAUUGGAAUCUGCUCUACAUUAAAGCCACAUCUGUGGAAUGUGUAAAACUGCUGCUGCUCUGAUCAGAGUCUCCAUUAUUCCAGGAGGUUAGGCCAUUGGGAGUUCGAUUGCUGACAGCAACUUGCCUCCUUCUCCUUGGGGCUGUAUUGGCUUUCUUAAGAAUGCAAACAGGUGCUGAGAUUCAAUGCUUAUGUGCUUAUGGGGCAUUUUUGCAUAAGGUGUUAAAACAUUUCUGCAUUCAUCAAUUUUCUGGAGAUGAGAAUGGUGCCAAAUUUUAAACAGCCCACAAAACUGGACCACAGUUGAAAUAAAAAAUCCUCCCCAAAGUACCAGUGACAAUUAAAU
This 876-nucleotide long non-coding RNA is filed under the name Capra hircus (goat). RNAcentral describes it as "lncRNA (ENSCHIG00000007357.1)". Lineage: Eukaryota; Metazoa; Chordata; Mammalia; Artiodactyla; Bovidae. The record is from RNAcentral.